Molecule: ribosomal RNA, 253 nt
Filed under: uncultured bacterium
Lineage: Bacteria
Description: partial 16S ribosomal RNA
Rfam family: Bacterial small subunit ribosomal RNA
Source: RNAcentral
GACGUAGGGGGCCAGCGUUGUUCGGAAUUACUGGGCGUAAAGCGCGUGUAGGCGGCAAGGCAAGUCGGGUGUGAAAGCCCUGGGCUCAACCCGGGAAGUGCAUUCGAUACUGCUAAGCUAGAGUCCCGGAGAGGAUGGUGGAACUCUCGGUGUAGAGGUGAAAUUCGUAGAUAUCGAGAAGAACACCGGUGGCGAAGGCGGCCAUCUGGACGGUGACUGACGCUGAGACGCGAAAGCGUGGGGAGCAAACAGG